CCUGAGCAUGCACAAAAGGCCUUUUCUUAUAUUUUGUCAGACCUGAGAAUACUUCUGACAAGUUAGUACUGAAAGAGCCUAUUUAGGCUUUAAAUGGCAUUGCCUUUAGUUCUAAAAAGUACUGCAUAUCAGCAAUGAUCUCUUUAUUGAGUCUUACUUCUUAUUUUCAAAGUAUAAUUCAACAGCUGGCAACUGACAUACUCAGAAGAGGGCUCCCCACACCACCACUCUCCAGAAAAUAUAAUGUCAAAUUGAGUUAGUUUUUUAUAAAUUCACCAUUAUGUGCAAGGGAGAGUAAAGUUCAGUAUUCAGUCUCACUCUGCAAGUGCAGUGAGCAUAGUUCUGGCUCGUCAUCCUUUUCAGUAGUCAUUGAUUUGCUGUGAAUGCUAAUAAGCAGUCAAAAUCUGAAUCUGCUGUAAACAUCUUGUUUUGUUCCACUCUGUCUGGGUGUGUCCUUAGUUUUCCUGAGUGAAUUCCAACACUAACUUGUAAGGCUAAAAUUCUCUGUUGUGCUUUCUUUAGCAAGAAAACCAGUUCCUGCCCUUCCUGGCUUGUGGCCUCAUUUCUGUUCCCAACAUCAAUUAACUUCUCCAUGAGUUUUGUCAGUGCUGGUAUUUGUGGCAGCAUGCCACAAAACCGGUCACUGAAACGGUCAGACUCCUGAAAACACGUGAUUUGCCUUCAGGCACACUAAAAUGUGCAAUAGAAGAUAAUAAAAUAAACAAAAAUAGUUAAACAUAGCCUGAGAAGAGUCAAGAAAGAUUAAACAUAUGCACUUCAGUUUGAGAUAUACGUUGCAGAGAAAGCUUGCAGAUCCAGCUAUUCUUUGCUUCCUUUUCUUCAUAAAGAUUAAGGGGCUGCUGUGUGUACAAAGUUAUAGUGGUGUUACAGGAAAUCCUAACACAAGACAACAGAGUAUCUGGAGGGAGCAUCGUGUGUAAAAGCUGAAAUAUCUCUAAAGUGAUUUGUGAGCAGUGAGGCAUUAGUGUGGCAUUGUUCCUGCCGGCCUGUCUUAAGGCACUUUUAAAGUCAGGCUUUCUGCGUGCCCUCGCUGAACCCCAACCGAAGUUGCAGGCUGUGAUUUGCUUGGCUUUUUAUCCGCUUUAUUUCUCGGCGUCUUGUUUUCCUGCAACCCACCAGAGGUCAGUGUAAUUCCAAGAAUGGCGAGGAAUAGGGCCGGGACAGUAAUGCCAAGUUUCUGCCAGUUGCUGGGAUUGUAGGAGUGUAGCAGCGAUCUGUCAGCAGUGUACCUUGUCUUUUGUCAGUACCAGCUGAACUGGGGAAAGGGUAUGAAGCCGGCAAUAAGUCUGCGUGAAGUCACCUUAGAUGGUGAGCUUGUCUGAGGCAGACAAGCCUCCAAGCAUGAAGCUGGCUAUAUCUUUCAAAGAGUGUUAAUGUCAAUUAGCAGCUUUUCAGAUAUUCUGGAGAGCCAAAGAAUGGCCUAAUCUUAUUAAGCUCUUGUCUCAGUGGCUCCUUCCCUUCCUUUUCUAACCACACUUGUUCACUGAAUAAAGGUCCUCACCGGACUGCAAUGACAUGUCAGUUUCCUUCAAAAGUUAUAAUAUUAAUGGGAUACAUCUUGGGACUCCUAGUAAAUUUUUUUUCUCCUUUACUUUUUAUUUUUUGUUACUGAAUUUGUUUGCCACUGUAUUUCCCUAUUCAGCUGAUUUGUGCAAGCUGUUUGGAAGUUCCUCUCAGCUUCUGUUGGUAGCCUUACUUGCUAAGUAUGUUUAAUUAUAAAACCCACUACAAUACUGGCACACUAAGAAUUUUGUUAAACGUGUAAGAAUUUUUUUCUGUUCAGAAAUUUUUGUAGCCACUCAGUAUCACAGGUCUCUUCAUCUAGUUCAUUGCAUUUGAAGCUGGUUUGCCAGAGUGAGGGGCAUUUCCUACCUGUUCUGUGAUUUUUAUCACUACUAACAAGACAAUAGGCUAAGUUUUCCUGGACAUAAAAAAAUGUUUUGAGCAAAUGUCUUUUCCCUGGUGAUACGAAUCCCCUGAUUGCCUCUUUAUUUUGUAGUAUUUCUAGGACUGAGUAUUUGGUAGAAAUAAGUACUCAGGCUCAGGUAAAUCAGUUAGUAAAGCAGAUUUUUGUGCACUCUGAGCAUCCCCAAAAGAUGACUCAUUUACUAAUGUGUGAAUCUGGGCAUCAGUGACAAAUAACAGACUGCUCCCUUAAAUAUGCUUUUAGAAUAACAUGUUUCCAUUAUUGCUUAAAUAAUUCUUGCAGUUGUUGAAAAAGCCACAGAAAGUCAGUAUGGGAAUUCCUUGGUUGCCAGCAGCAUAUAUCUAUUUACUCUUGAAUGAAGAGAAAAACUUGAAAAUGUGCAGGAAAAUGAGACAUUAGUCCUUGGCAGUGUCCACAGUUCUGCUCAGCAGUCUGAUAUGAGCUGCUCAGCUGCUUUGUGGGGAUGGUAGGUGAACCUGCCCCAGAUUCUGAUUGUGAGAAUUUGUCCUUUGUUAAGUCAAAGGAUUUUAAUCUUUGAGUAGAUGGACUGAUUCUUUUCAAAGCAAGAUGUUUUUGUUUGUGUGUUGGCACUAUCUUGCACUGUAUAUGGUAAAUACACUACACUUGUUUUGGAAAAGUUAACUCUAAUUCCUGAUACAUUCAAAUAUUCUAGAAAUAGCUUUUAUUUUCAAAACAUUAGUUAGUGUAAACAUACGCUGCCUCAUUUUUACCAUCAUUGUUAAGGCUUUGAACUGUUUAUUUAUUGUUAAGAAGCUCAGACAAGGUGGGCACAGAGUAAAAAUGGUAACCGCUUGUUUCUCUAAAUUACCACCGUGUAGCAGUGGUAGUGCUGGUAGUUUUUUAGGGUGGUUUGUAAAAGAAAUUUUCUUCUUUCCCCUAGAAGUUCAGUCUUAUUAUGGCACUUUUCACAUUAUCCAGGAGUAGUGUGUUCAGUUAAUUUGACACUGGGCACUUUUGAAUAUGACUUCUAGGUUUUGUUUGAAUCAUUUUUUCAGGUUCUUGGAGCAAGGUUCUUUUCCUGUGGAAAUGGGCAGAACAAUAGUGAGAAAGAUUAUGGUAUCCUUGCUUUUCUUCAUGGUGUGUUCUCUUUGCAGAGUCUCUUGGAUAGGUUCUGGACUCCCUCCUUGUUCCCUAUUCUUUAAUUUUUAAUGGAAAGGAGUGGAACAGAUCCAGCAACAUUUGCUGUACAGAAAAGGGCUUGUUUAUUCUUGUCCACAUAAUCAGGAGAUGUCACCUGGGUACUCAAAUUACCUAUACAUUUUCUUGGUAAAUACGUUCCGUCUGCAACUCCUCUGGCUUUGUAAGAAUGGAGCCCGUGGCUGUGUUGCAGAGUGAUGCAUCACUGUUCUGGCUUUUUAUUCUGUAUAGGUUUAGGAAGUUGUAACAAUUCCCUGUGUGCUGACUGUGUUGCCAGUAUUUCUCACUCUGAAAAGGGUGCUAGCAUAUCAUUAUGGUAAGAGCUGCUGUCUGUAUACAAAUGACGUAUCUUGAAAAUCACCGUGUCUCUGGGUCACUGGGAAGCAGGGGAACUGGAAGGAGAGAGAUGUGCUGACAAACACAUAAAGUUUCUGGUGAGAGGAGUGUUUAAAGAUGUGUUUAAAAAAGUUAACAACUGACAUCUUUCAUCUGGCCUUUUCUGUAGUGUUCUGACAUUUCUCUUCUGUGACCUUGCUAGAAGUUCCUAGUCCUAAUGUACUUAGGAAUUACCUAAUUUGGACUAAUAAAGAAAGAAGUGGUGCCCUUUUAAAUCCAGAAUAUUAUGAUACAUAUCUAUGUUUGCCUGAUGACCACUUUUUCUAGCCAGUGAGCAGUGUUGUUUCACCUAAUGGUGGCAGUGGGCCCUACUUAUCCACUAACCAGAAAAGCAGUUAUGAAUAUAGUACAGUUCUCUUCUGCUUAAAUGGUAGACGUGAGGCUUCCUAGAAACAUGGAAUAAUCAGUGGCAAAUCUUGAGGGAUCCUUCGAAGGGAGGCAGCUAGGUACAAGGUGAAGAUGAUGUAACAGUUUAUGUACCUUGUGACUUGCUUCCAUGGAGCCCUUAGGAAAGAGAGCAUCUGGAAGGAUCCUGCAGGCUGGAAAAAUUGCCUUGGCUUGCUGCAAACUGACCACAGAACUGGAAAUUAGUUCAGUCCAUGCACUUUUCUGCCUUCUUUCUCCAUCCCCUUCUUCUGCCAUGCACCUCAUCUUUUGCAUGGUUCAGUGUGUUUUAAUAUAUCCUUUCUAAGUAGGAUGAAAAUUUUAGGAGAUUUUUCUUUUGAAACGACAGCAUGGUGUGAUUCAGAGAAUGAAAUAGUUGUGAGACUGUGCUCAUAGUUGGGAAAUAAUGCUGUCUGCUGGUGGUAAUAUACAGAAUUAAUGUUAUUUUACACUAAUGCUGUUCAUUAACCCUCGACAUUGUAGUUUCACUGGAAAAUGUGUUGACUUGACAUAGGCUAAGAUAAUCAGAGCUUUUCUUUCAUUCUGUGAUUGUGCACAUCCUCUUUAAUUAGGAAAUUGCAGAGUAGAAGAUCCUUUCAGGCUGCAGUAUAAAAAAUGUCAGUAUUAAUCUACAAUAUUUGUCCCAUUCACUAUGAGCAAUUAUGAGUGAUGAAUUAUAAAUGAUAAAUUAUACACUGUGGUAUUCAUUUGUACUGCAACAUGAAUAGGUUUUCAAUUCUUGUCCUGUGCAUAAGAAAACCCCCGUAGCUUUAUUCACCAUGAAAAUGGGGUACAAGUUUUCACUUCUCUUUGAGAGCUGUUGGCUUUCACUUAGUCUAGAAGAGCUGCUGGUCACAGGUGUCCAUUUCAUAGGAGAAGUUUGUGUUCAGGGUCCACUGAGGACAUGCCCAGCUGCAAUGGCAGGCGUACACAUUGAUUGCAGACCAGGCUGAGCCAGCUGAGGCACUGGAUACCUCACAUACCUGUUCCUCCUUGCAGACUGCCUUCUCGUUGGGGUAAAUGCAAUGCCGAACUAUGGAAGAGAUAGAGUAAGACUUUGGUAGUGGGCUUUCUAUUGACCCUUAUAGCUAGCACUUGCUCAGAAUGCUGGGGUUUUUUUCUGAUGCUUGUUCUGAAGUAUUGAACUCACCCUUUGCAGGCCAGAGAAAGAUAGACUUCAAAGCCAAGGCAACAUGGCAUCGCUGUAGUAUACUCAGGAUUUCGAAGCCUAUAUUCCCCUACGGAUCUGAUCCCAGAGCAGCCAAGUCCUGGUUCUGCACUGCAAUGUACCUGUACAUAUGACUCGAUAUGGCCAUGAAGUUGGAAGCCUCUCAGAGCACCCUGAUAUCCAUUUGGAGACAGUUUUCAAACAUAGAUGUCACUAUUUCACUGUGCUCGUUGUCUAUUUAUUACUGUGUAGUGCUGGCUUUGUGUACCAAUAUUUACUUACUGUUUCACUCAGACUUCUAAAUGGAAGACUCUGAUGCUACCUGGUUGGGUUCAAAUUUGUCAUUUAGAUGCCUGGAAUAAAUGCAGAUUUCCAAAUUCAAUUUAUAAUUCCCUAGUGUUAACCAUCUCAACUAGUUAAAAUCCAGAAUACGUGCAGCUGCUCUGGAAGUUUGCCUUUAGACUGGCAACCAGUACUAUUUUGUCCAAAAUUUCAUUUACUUAGAACUUAAAAUCUCUUCUCUGUUUCAGGAAGUGACUACAGGAAAGGCCUUUGUUUCUCAACAGAUCUGCUCACUAGAUUCAGGAGGAUAGGAUAAACAAGCAUUAACCAGGUUUUCCUCCUGUUAACCUUAGAGUUCACUCAACUAAAAGGAGUACACUGAGUCUUCUUUUUGUAUAUUCUUCAUGAAGUUGCUUACUGAAUGCCAACUUUUGUGUGUCCUUUGAAAACAAUGGAUUUCCCUGUUCCUGCUGAAUGUUCUCACAAUCGUAUGCAAACAGGAAUUAACUUAUCUUGGCUUUCAAAUCCCAUGCUAAAUUCAAGCUUGUCAGAAAUUACUUAAUUUCAUUUGAACAUACUGAUAUGAAGGUUCCAGAAGAAUAACAAAUGCAGAAUGCCCAAAAGACCUGCCUAAGAGACAUCACUAUAACAAAAAAACCCCAACCAAACAAGUUUUUUGCUUUAAUAUGGAGGUAGAGAAUACAAAUUGGAGUGUCUUAGUUACAACUGACACACUUCAGCUAUGAAUGUUUUUACCAGCCACAGGUGCCAGUUGUGCUUCUUUGUGACAUGUUUGAAGACCACAUGUUGCCUUAGCAUACUUCUCAGGUUCCUCCUGCAGUAUUCAGUCUGUCAUCCUGGCAGUUGUGAACCCAUGAUCUCCUUUCUUCCUACCACCAGAGUUUGGCACACGUGUCACUAGGAGCGGUCUGAGAGGAGCAUAUGGUAUUGCUGCAACUGAGGAGGGAUUCCUUGUGGAAGUAUGAGUGCUGGAAGUUUUACGUCACCUGGAAGCUUUUUUUUCUUAACAAUUGUUAUUUUUGCUUUAUUGAAAUGGACAUGUCUGUCCAUAAGCAGGCACCUUGCCAUUGCAACAGAUGGGUAGGAACAUAAGUAGCCAGGAGAAUAGAUCUGUAUACCUUUCAAAUGUGUAAUAGUCUGAUUCUCAGAAAGCUGUCACUCUAGUUCUUCGUAGGGAACUUCCUUGGCAUAUGGCGAUAAGGGAGAUAGUCUAUUAUUACUCAAUUACUUAAAAAACCCCAAACUAUCAAAUGUAAUGUGCUGUGUUUCUUUCUCUAAUGAAUAGGAAGUAGAAUGUCUGGAGAUGACAAAAAGCUUCAGGUUUCUCUGUUUAUGUGAAGAAGAGAUUCUAAAGACAACAUGGCUUGAAACCUCUAUCUGUGUGUUCUAGUAUGUGGUGAACACUAGUUGGUAGUCCUGUAUUCCAUGAAGUGUUUACAACGCAGAAGCAGACAAUAGGUAACUGGUGCUCAAGCAAUCAAGCAGCUGGAACACAGGCAUAGCUAACACAGAGAAUGGAUAUUACAGUGCCUAUAGUAUGUUUUGUUCAUUCCUGGUUAGUAUUACAGAUUUUAUGCUUAAAAUAAAAUUUUUUGAAGAAACUUUCCUCCUAUAGGUCUGGUGAAAACUACUUGCUUUUUAUAAGCAAAAGCUGUCACUGAAAGAAAUAACACAGACAGCUCAGGUGUUAGCUGUUGUGUUUGGCAGCACAUUAACCAGCUGGCAGCUGGAUGUUAGCAGCUGUAUGUUCUAUUUCUUGCCUUUGUGCGGGUGUUGUCUGAAGGUUGAGAACAAAGGACACAACCCUAAGAAGCCUGCUUCUUAGUUCUGCUACCCACAGAACAGCUUGUAAUACUUACACUGUCAGAUAAGGAGAAAAUCAAUAUUUUCAAACCAGAAAUUGAUCCAAUGAGAAAAGUAAAAUAGGAUCUUUCCUCAAGAUUGAUGGUUUAUGGGGCUGGUCAGAUCUACGUGGGGAACAUUAGAGAACAUUAAAACAGACCAAUUAAUAAUAUUCAAUCAUAACACACUAGAACUUUCUUUAGUGUUAUAGCGGAAUAGGAGGUUGGGUGUGAGUCUUGGCUUUCUAUUUCCAUGCACAUGUAGAGGAAGGUAUGACCUUCACUCAAGCAGACGCCUGCAAGGUGUUGUUAAAUGGGGCCAUUAAGACAUGAACAAUAAUGGGGUUUGAGCAGUGUGCAGCAUUGCAGAACCCAGCUGCACGAGGGUUUAUUUGUGCGACAGACUGCACAGAGCUCCACACUGCUGCAAUUGCAGUUACCCCUGGAAAGUCUGCCGUGGUCACCUCCAGGAAAACUUAGAUAGCAGGGUAGAGAUGCCACUGCCCAUUGCACGCAGCCCCAGAAGUGAGUAUUAGAUAAUUCACUUGCCCUUGAAAGGGAGGCAUCAGAGUGUGUGUGUGUGGGCCCUGCAAACUGAUAAGCAUUGAUGCUGAAGCCUAGCCAAACAUGUUCUCCGGCACAGCCUAAUGCUCGUGCUGGAGAUGCUUUUCCAAAUUCUAAAUUGCUCAUGGAAAGCCUUUCCUAUUUUUGAAUCUAAUCUCCUUUUUCAUUCUUUACAGAUGAAUUAAGUAACAUGCAGGGUCCAAAUUGCAAUCACUUGUUAUGUCUAGACUUUUUUCAUAUAUCCCAGUAUAUACCUCUUCAUUUCCAGUAGUGCUCAGAAGACCACUCAGUAGACUCAGAAAAGAAUGGAGCCCUGAAUAAAAUCCUUAAAAUUUCAUUUCCUACUUUGAGAACUUGUCUUCUGAAAACCUGAUCUGUAGUGAAGAGCUAGUGAAAACAGAUUAUCUGAAUUCCUGCAGGGUAACAGUGCCAUUAAUGAUAUGCUUAAGGUUAAAUGCAUAUAAAUACAAGAUCUGGGCCUAAGAAAGUAAGUGAUUUGAAAAUAGAGAGAUACAAUUAAUUCUGGAUUUUAAAGGUAAACUGAGAACGUGUCCACAUACUUUUACAUCCUUUAUAUUGCUGUUACAUAGCUGUUUAAAAAUUGAAAGCAAAAGCAGGUUCCAGUUUGCUUGGGAGUGAAAAGCACUUAGAUACAAGACAAGUUUGUUACUGAAAGAAAAAUUAAAUAAUCAGAUAUGGAUUUUAAAGUAAAGAAUAAAAUAGCUUCUAAAGAAGAAAUAUAAGCUAUGUGACUGCUAGAGUGAUUGCAUAAUGCAGGCAAAAAAGCUGUUUUCUGACCAUCUCCAGAAAAAUGCACUUGAAAACAUAUAGGGCCAGGUCAUCAUUUUAUUAGUUUUUGAGCAUUUUUCCUCUCUCUCUCUGAGUGUUGUUGUUUUUGUUUGUUUGGUUGGUUGGUUUGGCUUGGUUUGUUUCUGUAGAGCAAUGCAUCUGAGGUAACAUUGAAGCCAUAACUCAAGGAAUUUUAGAGGGAUAGCUGUAUUUUAGGCCUAGGUUAAAAAGAAGUCAGAGAAAGCACUGUUUCUAGUCGAAGAAUAUUUUUAAACUUUUGUCACUCUGCCUAUGGAAUAACUCCACUGAACUCAGAUUCAAAGCUGCAGAUUUGCACAAAUGUUAAGUCAUCUCAGAAACUAGGUAUUUGUUUUAUUGUAAUAUCUGAACCUAGAAAGAUAAACAGUUACGUUAAAUAGGGACCACAGCAGGUUAGGAUUGCAGAAAACUUAAUUUAUUCAGCUCAAAAAACAAGGACUAGCCACUUAAAAUUCCAUGUGAUUAAGGUGACUCAUUCUUGGCAGUAUCAUACUACACCAGAAUGGAAAAUCAUCUUGAUUUGUAAUACUAAAGAGAAGCUCAUAUAUACCAUAAUAAGAUGAGAAUGAGUAUAUGAGAAGGACUGAUGUGUAUUGGUUCAAGUUUAUUGAAAAUUUGGACACAUGUUUUUGCUUGCUCUGAAAUAAUCUGGGAGAAUUUCAGAAACACUUGCUAUGCUGUAUCAUUAACCAAACAAUAUUUUUGCGUCACAAAAUGGUGUCCUUGCAUGUGCCUUUUUAUGCAAUGUCAUUCCAUCAUGGUGUGUUUUGAUUUAAGUGAAUCAUUGCACAACUUCGCAAAUGGACCUGUGAUCUAAGAAGAGGAAAAACACACAACUCUAUGAAAUUAAUUUUACUGGAGAAGUACCUUCUUGGUCAUAUAGGUUAACAGAUGGUAGAGAUGCUGAAGAUGAUAUGGAGGGCAUAAUAUUAAUAUAUAUCUAUUUGGGCAGGUUCAUAGUGUGGAGGAGUAAUGGAGUUUUUCCCUUAAGUGGUGGAAUCCUUAAAACUGAGAUUCUUCCUCCUUUUUGUUUUUUAUCUCUAUGCAAACACCUACCGGUUUGAAUGUAUUUUUAAAGUAGCUUGUGAAAUGAUUUUAUUUGUUUUAUUUUAAUGUAGGAUUUACUGUAUUCAGAGUGGAAGAAAAUAAAAUUAAAAACGUGCAGAGCCAGACCUCUUCACUUUCAUGCUGAAGACAGCCUUUAUUUAGACAGGAUUUCCAAACAGUAAUGGUGCCAAGGCUUGCUGACUUUUUUGCUGCAGGUCACUAUGGUUCAUGGAAUUAUUUUCACAAAAUGGAGCUAGUGGGACUGUUCACUGAAGUUUAGUGGUUUGUGUGCUUUGCUGUAUAGAUAAGACACCAAAAUCAAGCCUUUGUUUAAAGGAGGAUAGUCACCAUGUGUUUAUCUCAUUAAGGUCUUGAUAGAAAAGGUCACUUGCAGGAAGUAGGUUAGGUCUGUGGUAAACGGUGGCACUACAGGUAAUGAAUAUUACAAGUAUACUUGUAAUUCCCUGGAUUUGUAAUAUUGGUAAGCACAUCCUUGAAAUUUUUUUAAAUAAAAAUGUGUAAUUCCAUAAAAUACAAAUGGAUCGUUACAUUGUGGAAAAGAGAAUAUCAUUCUUGUUUGGACCUGUCAUACUUGUAUAGUGCUGCAAUACUAAGGGGCUUUUCAGGGAAAACCUACAUAGAGACUGGCCCAUGCUCCAUUCUAUGUCUCCUACAUACAUAUUUAUGUGAAUGCAGGAUUAGUAAUCUGUUUGACCCCCUACAAUUCAUCUGGUGACUGUAAUCAUGAUAAUGUGCAGUUCAUGUAUUAAUUUACCCCUAUGAGAUUUAUUCCAGAUUUUGAAGCCUCUAAACACAACGAAUGAUUACAGGAAAAAGAGAGCAUGACAAGAAAAUGUUUCCUUCACUUUUCUAAAAACUAGUUAUGUAGGAGCCUUUUUUCUCAAAAAUAGCCUAUGUUCAUGAGCCAUUAUUAAUGUCAUUUAAUCCAGUAUUUGUUCUAGCCUUGGAUUUUUUAAGCAAAGAUUUGCCUUAAAACUGCAAUGUUUAGUAUAUUUGACAACUGUAAUAUUUUAAAAGACUAAAAAUAUAAAAUCCAUAACUUUUUAGAAAAGGUAGCUUAUAUAGUUUAUUGAUGGCUUUACAAUUUCUCUAGUACAGUGAUUUGAAUAUAUGAUACACAAGAAAAAAUGCUAUAAGAGAAAAGAAUUGAAGAUGCUAUACAGCAUUGUCGUAUUUUAGUGUUCACAAUUCCUAUUUUUAUACAUAUGGUGCGUGUAGUAUAUAGAAGUAAGAUGACAUGAGGAAUUACAUAAGACCUCAGCUGGUGUUUUUUUAGUAAUAUUUAGUAGUAUUCCUAAUACCUUUUUCUUUCUUUCCCCAGGAAUGACUAUUGAUACAAAUGUGUAUGCGAUAGAGGAACAACUGACAACUGGGCUUGCCUUUAAAAUACUAGAAUUGGCUGUUCAGGACUCAACUGCCCUCUGUGUUUUCUUCAUACUGUUUUCUUUUGUUGAGAUCCAUCAGCACAGUUCUGAACUGGGGUUUCAUCUAACUCUUGUGACUUUGACUCAUAGUUCCAGGUGGACCAGCACCUUUGGCAGAUGCAUUAACACUAUCCCAUGUGGAAAGAGUCAUUUUUCCAAAUCGGCAGCUCUCACACUAUUCAGAUUUGAGCUUAUGCUGUUAAAAGUCACCUAGUAUCCAACAGAUAACUUACUAAGGUCAAAGAGUGUCAGUAACCACACACUCUCAGGAAGUGGUAUGAUUGAAAAUCAAAUCCACUGCUACCUUUUCAAGUCUGGAAGAGGAAACCUCAUUAAGAUCACACUGCAGUACAAUAAGGUUUCCCCUCCUGGGGAUCACCACCUUUAUGGCAAACAUCUGGGUGAUGACCAGCGAAGCAACUGCCCAUCACAGCAGCAAUAUAAAAUUUGAUCCACAUUCGACUCAUAUUCCAGUUUGUGAGCUGCAGUGAUCACCCGUUGAAGCAGCUGUACUUGGUCUUAAAAUCCCUACCCACACCAGAUGAGGUGGCUGAGCAGAUACAGGAUGAUGAAGCAGGGUUGCAGCGGAAUAAUAGUUUGCAACAACACUGAGUUGAGCUGUCAGAAAGUCAUACAAAUUCUAUCAAAUAUCUGGAAAGAUGAAGUGGAAGCCUGCCAAGACAUAACCUGUCUAGGGCUUGGAGAAUUCAAAUGAUUUGGUUUUACAAACCUGCAUAGCCACUACACAGGUUUUUGUGAAUUUCACCAAAACUGGAAAUAAAUGAUUUUGUCAUUGCCUUCAUCCAUGUGGAAACAUUCUAUAUCACGGGAAAUGUUCUUUGAGAAUGCAGCACUGAUGGGGCCUGUAUUAAAAAUGUGCUUUAAAUCAAAUGGGAGAGCAAAAAGGAAUGAAAUACAGAUUGUAAAGAAAGCAGGUGUCAUUUGAUGUGAUCUAGUUCAAACUUGUAGUUGUCUCACCCUUGUACAAAGAUUUAGCAGAAGCCUUCAGGAUUAAUACAAACCAAAAUGCUGAGAUAUUUUUAUUGUCUUAAUAAUCUUCUUUCUGAGUGAUGGUUGAGACCCUCAGAAUACAUAAAUCAAAAUAUUUAUACUGUAUUCAUGCCUGCUAUAUAGCUAUCUAAUUACUAUUUUUACACAGCUUUGGUGACUAUGAGUAAAAGUUGACUAAAACCAAUACUGUUUUGUUGAUGUUGUGUUUGAUUUUGCUGUUGUUGUUUUGAUUUGGUUUUGGUGUGGUGGGUUUUUUAAGAUGCUUGCUGUUUCAAGAGUCAUUUCAGUCUAUAUCCCAGUAAAAAAAACCAGCAAAUCCACACUGUAGGUUUGUGAUCAGUGUACUAGAAACAAAAGUCAGGAGCAUAGAUGUUGGAAAGGCAUCCUUUAUUAUGUGUACAUUUCUUUGAGAUAAUUUAGGGGAUAUUUAGAUAUUUGCCUGCAAACCAGCCCCUCCAGUAUUCUAAGAUAGGUCCAACAGUAGGAAUAUGGGUAUCUGAGCUCUUACCCAGGCUCUGUUUUGGUUUUAGCUGAUCUAGAUGCAGCAGUUUCCAUCAGAAAUCUUGUAAGAGGUUGUCCUGUACUACAGCUGUUAGCACCCCAAAUUCUUACCAGAUCAAAUCAAAGUUCUGGAUGUGAGCUGCUGCUGCUGAAGGGGGACACACUGCUUUUUUGCCACUAUUGCUUGGUGGCAGCAGAGAGUCAUCACUUUUUAAACUGCGACAUUUGUCAUCUAACAUUGACAAUAUCCAUGAGUCAGGGUGUUUAGCACAGCACGUGCACACUACAGUGUCCCAUGGGUUCUUGAGAUGACCCCCUUACGGCUUGCCAACUCAUGGUUUUAGGCAGACCAAGUCCUGAGCUAUGCAAACAAGCCCUACACCUCUCUCUCUAUAUAUUGCACAUAUUUCUCCUUUUAUUUCUGGAGUUAGAUCUAAGGAAAUCAGUAUGCUUAGCUCACCUCAGAGCACAGUGGGGCAUUGCUUAAACUCACUGAUGUCUUGCACAUAAAUAGUGAACGAAGGUCAGAUAAACUUAAUGUAUGAAUGCAAAUGCCCCUGUUGAAGCAAAGAACAAGCAAAGAACAAGCAACCCAGGCUUGAUAAUUUAUCUAGUGCAGCAUUUUUGCUGAUAGCACAGCUCUGUCUCUGCAGUGUGUUGUCAUCAGUUCCUUUGUCCAUACAAUCAUUAUUAACAUUAUAAAAGCCCCAUGAGGCCCCAGUCCUCAGCACUUUACCAAUGCCACUCUACGGUCAAGAGCCCUGUCCUGGAGAGCAGUCUAGGUCUGUGGGGUACAGUACUUCCUUUGUCUAGAUUCUAUAGCACAGCAGAUCCAAGAAGAUUCACAUGUGCCUCUGUGAGAGGAGAAGGCUUGGACUGGUCACAGCCAGUCUUGUGUGCUUUUUAUUCCUCUUAUUUGCCUUCUCUGUUUUAACUUGUUUUAUAGGUGCAACUGAAUUCUCAAGCAAGAUUGAAUUUUUAUGCCUGAAAUUGUUUGUUAUACAUUUAUACUGAAGUAAUACAUCUACAUACUGCUGUUGUAAAAAGCAUUGUUUUGUGUUGUACAGAAAUUUGUGAACUUGCUUUAUUGGCUCUUGUCAAUGCCACAAUAAAAUCCAUCUGUACUUGGAGCAAAGAGAUAAUGCUUGGCUGAAUACAGGAAUAUUCCUCUUUGUAAAUUCUUACUCUCUUUCCAUGAAUUAAGAAUUAUUCUUUACCCCUGUCUGUUAUCUUGUCUUCAUGGUCUGGAUAAGUUUUUGGAAUGUAAGAAUUCAGUCAACAUUAACUUUGUUCCUCUGCUUUGCUCAGUUUAAAACUGUUUCUGUGACAACAGGAAAUUAAUUUUUUGAAGAAAAGUAUUGGUCUCUUGAGGUUUCCUAGAAGACCUAAUGUUGUUAUCUUCCAUAAAAUGACAACAAAUACAGUCAAUUAUUUUGUUGAACCUUUCUGUACUGCAAUUCUGUUCAUAUAUGUAUAGUUACUGUCUAAUUGGAUAUGCACUUGUCUUGCAGAUAGUUGGUUUCAGACAGACCAAACAGUGCAUUGCUAUGUCCACAAACGAAGUGUUAAUGUUUUGCUUUAUACCAGACUUACUUCAUGUCAGGAUGUAUAUCAAUAAACAGCUAGUCAUAUAUACAUGUAUAAAAAAUUGCAGAAAUUAAACUCUUUCACACAUUUACAAGGGGAGGGGAUGAAGUCUCACAUGAUUUCUGGUACGUCAUGUUGAGCAGCAGCUAACACUGCAGCAUCCAUGGUACACUUAAUUUCUUUGUCUCUACAGUUGACCCUGCCCUAGAUGAGAGAAAGUUGAUCACAGAGGAGAAAAUGGGGCCACAGUCUAUUUCUUAAGUACAACUCUGCAGUGAAAAGGAUAGGAUUUUCUGUACAUGGUUUAUGUUGGUGUUUGAGUUGCUGAAGUACUGACAGCACUAUCUAUAAUUCAGUGAUAAAAACUGUAACACUAUACACAUGAAUGGCUGCUGUUCAAAUACCAGGACGUCCUCAGGCUAGACCACUGAUAUCAAGAAAUAUUUUUAUCCCCAUCCGACAGAUUCUGAAAUCGAAGACGGGAGUGACUGUAUCGCCUCAAAUCACACUGCAAUUUAGAAAGCACCCAUGAGUGUUUAAUAUAUGUUAUAUAAUAGUCUGUAUAAUUUAGCACAUGUAUUUAAUAUGUAUUAAACAUUCACUGAUAGUUUCUAACUUGCUGUGUGAUUCACAACUGUGUGAAUCCCUUCUUUGGUUUCUGAAUAUAUAAAUAAUAAACCCUUCUGGUUAUAUUUUAA
Corvus hawaiiensis (hawaiian crow) is the source of this 14879-nucleotide long non-coding RNA. RefSeq lists it as uncharacterized. The record is from RefSeq and is a predicted model, not a curated record. Lineage: Eukaryota; Metazoa; Chordata; Aves; Passeriformes; Corvidae. The transcript is spliced from 3 exons.